CAGCCGCCACGGUAAAACGGAGGGUGCAAGCGUUAAUCGGAAUUACUGGGCGUAAAGCGCACGCAGGCGGUUUGUUAAGUCAGAUGUGAAAUCCCCGAGCUUAACUUGGGAACUGCAUUUGAAGCUGGCAAGCUAGAGUCUUGUAGAGGGGGGUAGAAUUCCAGGUGUAGCGGUGAAAUGCGUAGAGAUCUGGAGGAAUACCGGUGGCGAAGGCGGCCCCCUGGACAAAGACUGACGCUCAGGUGCGAAAGCGUGGGGAGCAAACAGGAUUAGAUACCCGAGUAGUCCCUGUCUCUUAUAC
RNAcentral lists this ribosomal RNA (301 nucleotides) under uncultured bacterium. Its description in RNAcentral is "partial 16S ribosomal RNA". It matches the Rfam family "Bacterial small subunit ribosomal RNA", at positions 509 to 807 of the family's 1533-position model. The record is from RNAcentral.